Molecule: small nucleolar RNA, 124 nt
Organism: Caenorhabditis elegans
Lineage: Eukaryota; Metazoa; Nematoda; Chromadorea; Rhabditida; Rhabditidae
Source: Ensembl
GAAAUCUAAAAGAAAGUAGGUCUUAUUUGAUUCCAGCAUCUCCCGAAUAUCUCUCGAUUCGAGCCAAUUUUCGGCAUCCGAAAUCGAGCGGAGUUUUUCGCGGGCUUGGCUGGAUUCAAAUUUA